CUACGGGCGGCUGCAGUGGGGAAUAUUGCACAAUGGGGGAAACCCUGAUGCAGCAACGCCGCGUGAAGGAAGAAGGCUCUUGGGUUGUAAACUUCUUUGAAUGGGGACGAAAAAAAUGACGGUACCCAUAAAACAAGCCACGGCUAACUACGUGCCGGCAGCCGCGGUAAUACGUAGGUGGCAAGCGUUAUCCGGAAUUACUGGGUGUAAAGGGCGUGUAGGCGGGAGAGCAAGUCAGAUGUGAAAUGCCAAGGCUUAACCAUGGAACUGCAUCUGAAACUGUUUUUCUUGAGUACUGGAGAGGAAAGUGGAAUUCCUAGUGUAGCGGUGAAAUGCGUAGAGAUUAGGAGGAACACCAGUGGCGAAGGCGGCUUUCUGGACAGUAACUGACGCUGAGGCGCGAAAGCGUGGGGAGCAAACAGGAUUAGAUACCCGUGUAGUC
RNAcentral lists this ribosomal RNA (442 nucleotides) under uncultured bacterium. RNAcentral describes it as "partial 16S ribosomal RNA". It matches the Rfam family "Bacterial small subunit ribosomal RNA", at positions 339 to 795 of the family's 1533-position model. The record is from RNAcentral.